RNAcentral lists this ribosomal RNA (282 nucleotides) under uncultured Dialister sp. RNAcentral describes it as "partial 16S ribosomal RNA". It matches the Rfam family "Bacterial small subunit ribosomal RNA", at positions 101 to 339 of the family's 1533-position model. The record is from RNAcentral. Lineage: Bacteria; Bacillati; Bacillota; Negativicutes; Veillonellales; Veillonellaceae.
CUUGCUCUUUCCGGAAUUGAGUGGCAAAACGGGUGAGUAACACGUAAACAACCUGCCUUCAGGAUGGGGACAACAGACGGAAACGACUGCUAAUACCGAAUAAGUUCCAAGAGCCGCAUGGCCCAUGGAAGAAAAGGUGGCCUCUACCUGUAAGCUAUCGCCUGAAGAGGGGUUUGCGUCCGAUUAGAUAGUUGGUGAGGUAACGGCUCACCAAGUCGACGAUCGGUAGCCGGUCUGAGAGGAUGAACGGCCACACUGGAACUGAGACACGGUCCAGACUCC